RNAcentral lists this ribosomal RNA (2758 nucleotides) under Klebsiella pneumoniae. RNAcentral's name for it is "bacterial LSU rRNA". It matches the Rfam family "Bacterial large subunit ribosomal RNA". Lineage: Bacteria; Pseudomonadati; Pseudomonadota; Gammaproteobacteria; Enterobacterales; Enterobacteriaceae. The record is from RNAcentral.
CACUAUCGUUAACUGAAUACAUAGGUUAACGAGGCGAACCGGGGGAACUGAAACAUCUAAGUACCCCGAGGAAAAGAAAUCAACCGAGAUUCCCCCAGUAGCGGCGAGCGAACGGGGAGCAGCCCAGAGUCUGAAUCAGCUUGUGUGUUAGUGGAACGGUCUGGAAAGUCCGACGGUACAGGGUGAUAGUCCCGUACACCAAAAUGCACAGGUUGUGAACUCGAAGAGUAGGGCGGGACACGUGGUAUCCUGUCUGAAUAUGGGGGGACCAUCCUCCAAGGCUAAAUACUCCUGACUGACCGAUAGUGAACCAGUACCGUGAGGGAAAGGCGAAAAGAACCCCGGCGAGGGGAGUGAAAAAGAACCUGAAACCGUGUACGUACAAGCAGUGGGAGCACCUUCGGGUGUGACUGCGUACCUUUUGUAUAAUGGGUCAGCGACUUAUAUUCUGUAGCAAGGUUAACCGUAUAGGGGAGCCGCAGGGAAACCGAGUCUUAACUGGGCGUUAAGUUGCAGGGUAUAGACCCGAAACCCGGUGAUCUAGCCAUGGGCAGGUUGAAGGUUGGGUAACACUAACUGGAGGACCGAACCGACUAAUGUUGAAAAAUUAGCGGAUGACUUGUGGCUGGGGGUGAAAGGCCAAUCAAACCGGGAGAUAGCUGGUUCUCCCCGAAAGCUAUUUAGGUAGCGCCUCGUGAAUUCAUCUUCGGGGGUAGAGCACUGUUUCGGCUAGGGGGUCAUCCCGACUUACCAACCCGAUGCAAACUACGAAUACCGAAGAAUGUUAUCACGGGAGACACACGGCGGGUGCUAACGUCCGUCGUGAAGAGGGAAACAACCCAGACCGCCAGCUAAGGUCCCAAAGUCAUGGUUAAGUGGGAAACGAUGUGGGAAGGCACAGACAGCCAGGAUGUUGGCUUAGAAGCAGCCAUCAUUUAAAGAAAGCGUAAUAGCUCACUGGUCGAGUCGGCCUGCGCGGAAGAUGUAACGGGGCUAAACCAUGCACCGAAGCUGCGGCAGCGACACUAUGUGUUGUUGGGUAGGGGAGCGUUCUGUAAGCCUGCGAAGGUGUGCUGUGAGGCAUGCUGGAGGUAUCAGAAGUGCGAAUGCUGACAUAAGUAACGAUAAAGCGGGUGAAAAGCCCGCUCGCCGGAAGACCAAGGGUUCCUGUCCAACGUUAAUCGGGGCAGGGUGAGUCGACCCCUAAGGCGAGGCCGAAAGGCGUAGUCGAUGGGAAACAGGUUAAUAUUCCUGUACUUGGUGUUACUGCGAAGGGGGGACGGAGAAGGCUAUGUUAGCCGGGCGACGGUUGUCCCGGUUUAAGCAUGUAGGCUGGUUGUCCAGGCAAAUCCGGAUAAUCAAGGCUGAGGUGUGAUGACGAGGCACUACGGUGCUGAAGUAACAAAUGCCCUGCUUCCAGGAAAAGCCUCUAAGCAUCAGGUAACAUCAAAUCGUACCCCAAACCGACACAGGUGGUCAGGUAGAGAAUACCAAGGCGCUUGAGAGAACUCGGGUGAAGGAACUAGGCAAAAUGGUGCCGUAACUUCGGGAGAAGGCACGCUGGUGUGUAGGUGAAGUCCCUGCGGAUGGAGCUGAGACCAGUCGAAGAUACCAGCUGGCUGCAACUGUUUAUUAAAAACACAGCACUGUGCAAACACGAAAGUGGACGUAUACGGUGUGACGCCUGCCCGGUGCCGGAAGGUUAAUUGAUGGGGUUAUCCGUAAGGAGAAGCUCUUGAUCGAAGCCCCGGUAAACGGCGGCCGUAACUAUAACGGUCCUAAGGUAGCGAAAUUCCUUGUCGGGUAAGUUCCGACCUGCACGAAUGGCGUAAUGAUGGCCAGGCUGUCUCCACCCGAGACUCAGUGAAAUUGAACUCGCUGUGAAGAUGCAGUGUACCCGCGGCAAGACGGAAAGACCCCGUGAACCUUUACUAUAGCUUGACACUGAACAUUGAGCCUUGAUGUGUAGGAUAGGUGGGAGGCUUUGAAGCGUGGACGCCAGUCUGCGUGGAGCCAACCUUGAAAUACCACCCUUUAAUGUUUGAUGUUCUAACGUUGGCCCCUUACCGGGGUUGCGGACAGUGUCUGGUGGGUAGUUUGACUGGGGCGGUCUCCUCCCAAAGCGUAACGGAGGAGCACGAAGGUUAGCUAAUCCUGGUCGGACAUCAGGAGGUUAGUGCAAUGGCAUAAGCUAGCUUGACUGCGAGCGUGACGGCGCGAGCAGGUGCGAAAGCAGGUCAUAGUGAUCCGGUGGUUCUGAAUGGAAGGGCCAUCGCUCAACGGAUAAAAGGUACUCCGGGGAUAACAGGCUGAUACCGCCCAAGAGUUCAUAUCGACGGCGGUGUUUGGCACCUCGAUGUCGGCUCAUCACAUCCUGGGGCUGAAGUAGGUCCCAAGGGUAUGGCUGUUCGCCAUUUAAAGUGGUACGCGAGCUGGGUUUAGAACGUCGUGAGACAGUUCGGUCCCUAUCUGCCGUGGGCGCUGGAGAAUUGAGGGGGGCUGCUCCUAGUACGAGAGGACCGGAGUGGACGCAUCACUGGUGUUCGGGUUGUCAUGCCAAUGGCACUGCCCGGUAGCUAAAUGCGGAAGAGAUAAGUGCUGAAAGCAUCUAAGCACGAAACUUGCCCCGAGAUGAGUUCUCCCUGAGACUUUAAGUCUCCUGAAGGAACGUUGAAGACGACGACGUUGAUAGGCCGGGUGUGUAAGCGCAGCGAUGCGUUGAGCUAACCGGUACUAAUGAACCGUGAGGCUUAACCUU